RNAcentral lists this ribosomal RNA (253 nucleotides) under uncultured bacterium. RNAcentral's name for it is "partial 16S ribosomal RNA". It matches the Rfam family "Bacterial small subunit ribosomal RNA", at positions 524 to 776 of the family's 1533-position model. The record is from RNAcentral.
UACGUAGGGUGCGAGCGUUAAUCGGAAUUACUGGGCGUAAAGCGUGCGCAGGCGGUUUUGUAAGACAGAGGUGAAAUCCCCGGGCUUAACCUGGGAACUGCCUUUGUGACUGCAAGGCUUGAGUGCGGCAGAGGGGGAUGGAAUUCCGCGUGUAGCAGUGAAAUGCGUAGAUAUCAGGAGGAACACCGAUGGCGAAGGCAGCUUGCUGGGACGGUACUGACGCUGAGACGCGAAAGCGUGGGGAGCAAACAGG